RNAcentral lists this long non-coding RNA (2619 nucleotides) under Homo sapiens (human). RNAcentral's name for it is "HSALNT0282384". Lineage: Eukaryota; Metazoa; Chordata; Mammalia; Primates; Hominidae. The record is from RNAcentral.
AAAUUGGCAAAAUAUUUAAGAAGACACAUCAACCAAGAUGGUAUACAGAUGGUACAUAAACACAAGAAAAGAUGCUCAACAGCAUUACUUAUUAGGGAAGUGUAACCUAAAACCACAGUGAAAUACCACUACACUCCCAUUAAAUGACUAAAAUUAAAAAUAAUAAUCAUACCCAAUGAAGCAACUGCAGCACUUAUAUACUGCUGGUUAAAAUGUAACAUAGUACAACCACUUUGGAAAGCAGUUUGACAAUUUCUUAAAUAAUUAAGUAUAUACCUACCAUAUGACUAAGCCAUUCACUCCUAUGCAUUUACUCAAGAGAAAUGAAAACUAUGUCCACACAGACUUGUAAACAAAUGUUCACAUCAGUUUUAUUUGUAAUAGCCAAAAGCUGGAAAUACAAAUUUCCAUCAAAACAUGAAUGGAUAAACAAAUUCUGGUAUGUCCAUAUAAUGAAAUAACACUUAGCAAUAAAAAGGAAUGAACAUAGACGCAUAUAACAACAUGAAUGAAUCUCAAACUUAUUAUGCUGGAUGGAAGGAGCCAAACAAGAGUACCUAUAGUAUUAUUCCAUGUGUAUAAAAUUGUAGGAAACGCAAACUAAUCUAUAACAAUAGAAAACAGAUCCAUGAUUGCCUGUGGAUGUGGGAAGAAUGUGGGGAAAGGGGGCUGAAUGACAAAGAGGCAUAAGGAAACUUUUUUGGGGUGAUUGAUAUGUUCAUUAUUUGUAUUGUCAUGAUGGUUGGAAAGGUGCACACGUCAAAACUCAUCAAAUUGUACACUUUAAACAAGUUCCACUUUCUGUAUGCUAAUUCUACCUCAUUAAAACUGUAAAAUAUGUUUUGGGGACAAUGGGAGAAAUUUGGAAAUGGACUGGAUAUAUCAUAGAAUUAGAUUGAUAAUGAUAUUCCAGGUAUGUGGGAGAAUGUCCUUAUUUUUAGGAGAUGAAUGCUCAAUUAUUUAUGGUUAUAAUGUUAUAUCUAUAACUUACCACUGGUAUUUCAGGAAAAAUUACAUAUAAAUUGUUAAAUCUAGAUGGAUGUUAUAUAGGUUGUACUGUGUUUUCAAUAUUUCUACAUGAUUGAAAAUACACAUAAUUAAGAUGUGAGGGAAAUAAUGUUAUAUUGUUUUAUUGUCCAUCCUCUUCUUUGGGUAUAUAUAUAUAUAAUCUUUAUUAACCUGGAAUGCAACCAAAUCUUCUCUGGGAAAGUCUCCAGGGAGGGAGACAUUCUCUAUCUUUACUAUCCUGGAAUGUAAAUAAAUCUGAGCAAAUUGCUUGUUAAUGUCUAAACAUGAAGAACAUGAGAUUCAAGGAGAAUUGUCUCUGAAGACAAGGCUAGAGUCAAUCACACAAAACUGAAAAGAAUAAUGAUGUGAAAUGGAUGUUGAUUGGUAGAAGAUGAAUGUAGAAGGUGACAAAGACAUCUUACAUAUGCAUAAUUGAUGUCCCUGAAGAAGAGAAGAAAUGGAUCAGAAAAAAUGUUAAGCAAAAUAAAACUUCCUUGAAAUGAAUGAUUGGAAUGGCUCACUAUAACUCAGGUAAAAUUAAUACACAAAGAUCAGGACCAAAGCAUAUGCUUCCAUAGAUCCUUAACUUCAAGAAUAAAAAAAGAAUCAUAUGGCAGAAAGGCACAUUAUAUACAAGAAAAAAGAGAGCAAGUUUGUCUAAGACUUCUUAAUAACAUCACUCAAUUUUAGAAGAGCAGCAUCUACCAAAUUCUCAGGAAAAGAAAGUAUAAAUAUGUCAAUCAGGGAAGCAUAAUAACUAUGAGCAUUAUGGAAUAAGGGAUGCAUGCACAAUUUAUAGAGGUAGCUGGGGAAGGUUUAGAAGGGGGAGUUAGAAGACUAAAGAAAUCACUAAACCAGCCCUUUUGAGACAUUAGCAUGGGUGGAUAAAUCAGAGCUUUCAGGAAAAUCUGAGAAGCCAGGCACAUCUAGCUGCUGAUGUGGGACUGCCAUGAGAAGCUGGUGGAGAAGUCCAUGAGAAGCUUUUGUGAGCCUGCAGCCAAGCAUCUGGUGGUAGACCUGGGGCUGCCCAAUUUGUGGUACUUUGUUAUAGCAGCCCGAGGAAAGAAAUAUGCUUCUUAGUCAAAUCUAUGAUAGGUGGUAGUGUGUACAUCUUUUAUAGAUGAAAACCAUCAGGACAGAGGUUAACUAACUUUCCCAAGGUCACAUAAACUAGUAAAUUGGUAGAGCCAGGAUUGAAACCCUGGCAGAUGGGUUCCUGAGCCUAUCUACCUAACCACUAUGCAAACUAUCUUUUAAUAUUUUUAGCAGCAUUGUUCCCAGUGACAAAAAAGGGUUGAAAAUGGGAGUGAAUAAAUUUUAACAAUGCAAAUAGUUUAAUACAUUAUUGUACAUCCACCCCAUAAACUAUCAUGCAACCAUUCAAAACAAAUAUUGUUGAAUAAUAAUAAAGCAAGCUGCAGAGAUGGUUGUAUGUUAUGAUCCCAUUUUUGAAAAUCAAAGGAGGAAACAAUCUUAUAUAACUUCUGAUUACAAGCAUGGGAACGUAUGUAUGUCUAUAUAUGAUUAUGAGCACAGAGCAGAGAUUAAAACAUGAAAGUGUUCACAGUAGUUUAUUAGUAUUGGUCAUCUGUUAGAGAAGAAUAGUGGAGG